This is a non-coding RNA of Pelobates cultripes (western spadefoot toad), 225 nucleotides long. The record is from the annotation of a GenBank genome assembly. NCBI's taxonomy places the organism in Eukaryota, Metazoa, Chordata, Amphibia, Anura, Pelobatidae.
UGAGGGUUAAGGCAGUGCUGGAACAUAAUGGUGGCCACACAAAAUAUUGACACUUUGAGCCCAAUUUGGACAUUUCCACUUAGCGGUGUACUCACUUUUGUUGCCAACGGUUUAGACAUUAAUGGCUGUGUGUUGAGUUAUUUUGAGGGGACAGUAAAUUUACACUUAUACAGGCUGUACACUUACUACUUUACAUUGUAGCAGAGUGUCAUUUCUUCAGUGUUG